Molecule: ribosomal RNA, 1344 nt
Filed under: uncultured bacterium
Lineage: Bacteria
Description: 16S ribosomal RNA
Rfam family: Bacterial small subunit ribosomal RNA
Source: RNAcentral
GACGAACGCUGGCGUGCGUGCUUAACACAUGCAAGUCGAACGGAAAGGCCCUGCUUUUGUGGGGUGCUCGAGUGGCGAACGGGUGAGUAACACGUGAGUAACCUGCCCUUGACUUUGGGAUAACUUCAGGAAACUGGGGCUAAUACCGGAUAGGAGCUCCUGCUGCAUGGUGGGGGUUGGAAAGUUUCGGCGGUUGGGGAUGGACUCGCGGCUUAUCAGCUUGUUGGUGGGGUAGUGGCUUACCAAGGCUUUGACGGGUAGCCGGCCUGAGAGGGUGACCGGCCACAUUGGGACUGAGAUACGGCCCAGACUCCUACGGGAGGCAGCAGUGGGGAAUAUUGCACAAUGGGCGGAAGCCUGAUGCAGCAACGCCGCGUGCGGGAUGACGGCCUUCGGGUUGUAAACCGCUUUCGCCUGUGACGAAGCGUGAGUGACGGUAAUGGGUAAAGAAGCACCGGCUAACUACGUGCCAGCAGCCGCGGUGAUACGUAGGGUGCGAGCGUUGUCCGGAUUUAUUGGGCGUAAAGGGCUCGUAGGUGGUUGAUCGCGUCGGAAGUGUAAUCUUGGGGCUUAACCCUGAGCGUGCUUUCGAUACGGGUUGACUUGAGGAAGGUAGGGGAGAAUGGAAUUCCUGGUGGAGCGGUGGAAUGCGCAGAUAUCAGGAGGAACACCAGUGGCGAAGGCGGUUCUCUGGGCCUUUCCUGACGCUGAGGAGCGAAAGCGUGGGGAGCGAACAGGCUUAGAUACCCUGGUAGUCCACGCUGUAAACGGUGGGUACUAGGUGUGGGGUCCAUUCCACGGGUUCCGUGCCGUAGCUAACGCUUUAAGUACCCCGCCUGGGGAGUACGGCCGCAAGGCUAAAACUCAAAGGAAUUGACGGGGCCCCGCACAAGCGGCGGAGCAUGCGGAUUAAUUCGAUGCAACGCGUAGAACCUUACCUGGGUUUGACAUGGAUCGGGAGUGCUCAGAGAUGGGUGUGCCUCUUUUGGGGUCGGUUCACAGGUGGUGCAUGGCUGUCGUCAGCUCGUGUCGUGAGAUGUUGGGUUAAGUCCCGCAACGAGCGCAACCCUUGUUCACUGUUGCCAGCACGUUAUGGUGGGGACUCAGUGGAGACCGCCGGGGUCAACUCGGAGGAAGGUGGGGAUGACGUCAAGUCAUCAUGCCCCUUAUGUCCAGGGCUUCACGCAUGCUACAAUGGCUGGUACAGAGAGUGGCGAGCCUGUGAGGGUGAGCGAAUCUCGGAAAGCCGGUCUCAGUUCGGAUUGGGGUCUGCAACUCGACCUCAUGAAGUCGGAGUCGCUAGUAAUCGCAGAUCAGCAACGCUGCGGUGAAUACGUUCCCGGG